AAUGAACGCUGGCGGCAGGCCUAACACAUGCAAGUCGAACGGAUCCUUCGGGAUUAGUGGCGGACGGGUGAGUGACGCGUGGGAACAUACCCUUUGGUACGGAAUAGCCUCGGGAAACUGGGAGUAAUACCGUAUGUGGUCGAGAGACGAAAGAUUUAUCGCCAAAGGAUUGGCCCGCGUUGGAUUAGGUAGUUGGUGGGGUAAUGGCCUACCAAGCCGACGAUCCAUAGCUGGUUUGAGAGGAUGAUCAGCCACACUGGGACUGAGACACGGCCCAGACUCCUACGGGAGGCAGCAGUGGGGAAUGUUAGACAAUGGGGGAAACCCUGAUCUAGCCAUGCCGCGUGAUCGAUGAAGGCCUUAGGGUCGUAAAGAUCUUUCAGGUGGGAAGAUAAUGACUGUACCACCAGAAGAAGCCCCGGCUAACUCCGUGCCAGCAGCCGCAGUAA
RNAcentral lists this ribosomal RNA (449 nucleotides) under uncultured bacterium. RNAcentral describes it as "partial 16S ribosomal RNA". It matches the Rfam family "Bacterial small subunit ribosomal RNA", at positions 29 to 523 of the family's 1533-position model. The record is from RNAcentral.